This 253-nucleotide ribosomal RNA is filed under the name uncultured bacterium. Its description in RNAcentral is "partial 16S ribosomal RNA". It matches the Rfam family "Bacterial small subunit ribosomal RNA", at positions 524 to 776 of the family's 1533-position model. The record is from RNAcentral.
UACGUAGGGUGCGAGCGUUAAUCGGAAUUACUGGGCGUAAAGCGUGCGCAGGCGGCGCGUUAAGACAGGUGUGAAAUCCCCGGGCUUAACCUGGGAAUUGCAUUUGUGACUGUACGGCUAGAGUGUGUCAGAGGGGGGUAGAAUUCCACGUGUAGCAGUGAAAUGCGUAGAGAUGUGGAGGAAUACCGAUGGCGAAGGCAGCCCCCUGGGAUAACACUGACGCUCAUGCACGAAAGCGUGGGGAGCAAACAGG